Chenopodium quinoa (quinoa) is the source of this 442-nucleotide long non-coding RNA. RefSeq lists it as uncharacterized. The record is from RefSeq and is a predicted model, not a curated record. The transcript has 3 exons. NCBI's taxonomy places the organism in Eukaryota, Viridiplantae, Streptophyta, Magnoliopsida, Caryophyllales, Amaranthaceae.
UCAGAAUAAGUUGCAUUUACCAUUAAUCUUUCUUUAUGUACCUGGUUAAGGGUCUAUAGUACAGUUUUGAAGUUAUAUUAUAUGAAUGCUUUGCUUGAAUGGAAAACAUCUUGUCAAAAAGAUCAUUAUAUUUGACUGAAAGUUUCUCUUCUUGCAGGUAGAUGCAUCUGUUGAUGGGUUUCUCCAGUCUCUAGGCCUUGAAAAGUAUCUGAUUACAUUUAAGGCAGAGGAAGUUGGUAUGACAACCCUUUAGCAUAUGACUGACGAGUACCUUAAAGCAAUCGGAAUACCAAUGGGUCCAAGAAAGAAGAUAUUGUUAGCAUUGAGUUCAAGAGGUUGAAUCAGGGAGUGAAGCAGAUGAUUAAUUUUUACCAAUGUUGCCUUGUAUAUAUUGCGAUAAAAUAAAAACUUACUCUGUAUUAAAAACAUGUUUAUUUUUUCA